GGGGAGGGGGGGUAGAAUUUUCCAGGAGCACGCGAUGAAAUAGCUCAGAGAUUCGGAGGAAUACCCGGUGGCGAAGGCGGCCCCCCUGGACGAAGACUGACGAUCAGGUUUUGAAAGCGUGGGGAGCAAGCAGGAUUAGAUACCCUGGUAGUCCACGCCGUAAGCGAUGUCGACUUGGACGUUGUGCCCUUGAGGCGUGGCUUCAGGAGAUAACGCGUUAAGUCGACCGCCUGGGGAGUACGGCCGCAAGGUUAAAACUCAAAUGAAUUGACGGGGGCCCGCACAAGCGGUGGAGCAUGUGGUUUAAUUCGAUGCAACGCGAAGAACCUUACCUGGUCUUGACAUCCACAGAACCUUGUAGAGAUACGAGGGUGCCUUCGGGAACUGUGAGACAGGUGCUGCAUGGCUGUCGUCAGCUCGUGUUGUGAAAUGUUGGGUUAAGUCCCGCAACGAGCGCAACCCUUAUCCUUUGUUGCCAGCGGUCCGGCCGGGAACUCAAAGGAGACUGCCAGUGAUAAACUGGAGGAAGGUGGGGAUGACGUCAAGUCAUCAUGGCCCUUACGACCAGGGCUACACACGUGCUACAAUGGCGCAUACAAAGAGAAGCGACCUCGCGAGAGCAAGCGGACCUCAUAAAGUGCGUCGUAGUCCGGAUUGGAGUCUGCAACUCGACUCCAUGAAGUCGGAAUCGCUAGUAAUCGUGGAUCAGAAUGCCACGGUGAAUACGUUCCCGGGCCUUGUACACACCGCCCGUCACACCAUGGGAGUGGGUUGCUAAAAGAAGUACGGUAGCUUAACUAUUGUGGGAGGGCAGGUUACCAUAGAGUAGUCCGUUUUGGC
This 840-nucleotide ribosomal RNA is filed under the name Escherichia coli. Its description in RNAcentral is "bacterial SSU rRNA". It matches the Rfam family "Bacterial small subunit ribosomal RNA", at positions 651 to 1479 of the family's 1533-position model. Lineage: Bacteria; Pseudomonadati; Pseudomonadota; Gammaproteobacteria; Enterobacterales; Enterobacteriaceae. The record is from RNAcentral.